CCUACGGGGGGCAGCAGUGGGGAAUAUUGGACAAUGGGGGCAACCCUGAUCCAGCCAUGCCGCGUGUGUGAAGAAGGCCCUCGGGUUGUAAAGCACUUUCAGUGAGGAAGAACGCCUGGUGGUUAAUACCCAUCAGGAAAGACAUCACUCACAGAAGAAGCACCGGCUAACUCCGUGCCAGCAGCCGCGGUAAUACGGAGGGUGCGAGCGUUAAUCGGAAUUACUGGGCGUAAAGCGCGCGUAGGUGGCUUGAUAAGCCGGUUGUGAAAGCCCCGGGCUCAACCUGGGAACGGCAUCCGGAACUGUCAAGCUAGAGUGAAGGAGAGGAAGGUAGAAUUCCCGGUGUAGCGGUGAAAUGCGUAGAGAUCGGGAGGAAUACCAGUGGCGAAGGCGGCCUUCUGGACUGACACUGACACUGAGGUGCGAAAGCGUGGGUAGCAAACAGGAUUAGAUACCCUAGUAGUC
Molecule: ribosomal RNA, 465 nt
Filed under: Vreelandella stevensii
Lineage: Bacteria; Pseudomonadati; Pseudomonadota; Gammaproteobacteria; Oceanospirillales; Halomonadaceae
Description: partial 16S ribosomal RNA
Rfam family: Bacterial small subunit ribosomal RNA
Source: RNAcentral